GUGGGUAUAGCUCAGUGGUAGAGCAUGUGCUUAGCGUGUGUCAGGUCCUGGAUUCAAUCCCCAGUACCUCCA
Molecule: transfer RNA, 72 nt
Filed under: Camelus dromedarius (Arabian camel)
Lineage: Eukaryota; Metazoa; Chordata; Mammalia; Artiodactyla; Camelidae
Also listed under: 1 other name
Rfam family: tRNA
About the family: Transfer RNA (tRNA) molecules are approximately 80 nucleotides in length. Their secondary structure includes four short double-helical elements and three loops (D, anti-codon, and T loops). Further hydrogen bonds mediate the characteristic L-shaped molecular structure. tRNAs have two regions of fundamental functional importance: the anti-codon, which is responsible for specific mRNA codon recognition, and the 3' end, to which the tRNAs corresponding amino acid is attached (by aminoacyl-tRNA synthetases). tRNAs cope with the degeneracy of the genetic code in two manners: having more than one tRNA (with a specific anti-codon) for a particular amino acid; and 'wobble' base-pairing, i.e. permitting non-standard base-pairing at the 3rd anti-codon position.
Source: Rfam by way of RNAcentral